UCGNUGCAGAUUAUAGGAGCUUGCUCCUGAUUGAUAAACAUUUGAGUGAGUGGCGGACGGGUGAGUAACACGUGGGUAACCUGCCCUAAAGUGGGGGAUAACAUUUGGAAACAGGUGCUAAUACCGCAUAAAACCUAACACCGCAUGGUGUAGGGUUGAAAGAUGGUUUCGGCUAUCACUUUAGGAUGGACCCGCGGUGCAUUAGUUAGUUGGUGAGGUAAAGGCUCACCAAGACCGUGAUGCAUAGCCGACCUGAGAGGGUAAUCGGCCACACUGGGACUGAGACACGGCCCAGACUCCUACGGGAGGCAGCAGUAGGGAAUCUUCCACAAUGGACGAAAGUCUGAUGGAGCAACGCCGCGUGAGUGAAGAAGGUUUUCGGAUCGUAAAACUCUGUUGUUGGAGAAGAAUGUAUCUGAUAGUAACUGAUCAGGUAGUGACGGUAUCCAACCAGAAAGCCACGGCUAACUACGUGCCAGCAGCCGCGGUAAUACGUAGGUGGCAAGCGUUGUCCGGAUUUAUUGGGCGUAAAGCGAGCGCAGGCGGUUUCUUAAGUCUGAUGUGAAAGCCUUCGGCUCACCCGAAGAAGUGCAUCGGAAACUGGGAAACUUGAGUGCAGAAGAGGACAGUGGAACUCCAUGUGUAGCGGUGAAUGCAUAUAUAGAAAGG
Molecule: ribosomal RNA, 669 nt
Filed under: Lactobacillus sp. B 250
Lineage: Bacteria; Bacillati; Bacillota; Bacilli; Lactobacillales; Lactobacillaceae
Description: bacterial SSU rRNA
Rfam family: Bacterial small subunit ribosomal RNA
Source: RNAcentral